This 103-nucleotide microRNA precursor is filed under the name Marmota monax (woodchuck). Lineage: Eukaryota; Metazoa; Chordata; Mammalia; Rodentia; Sciuridae. The record is from RNAcentral.
AAUGUAAUGGUUGGGUCAUAUGGUAAGUGUAUAUGUAUUUUUUUUUAAGAAAUCACCAAACUCUUCCAAAGUGGCUCUACCAUGUUAUAUUCCCAUCAACAAU